Molecule: long non-coding RNA, 663 nt
Filed under: Phaseolus vulgaris (common bean)
Lineage: Eukaryota; Viridiplantae; Streptophyta; Magnoliopsida; Fabales; Fabaceae
Description: long non-coding RNA (PVUL_LNC005336)
Source: RNAcentral
GACAAAUGAAUUUAUUUCUUAAAGUAAUGGUUAUACUAUAUCCAGUAAUUUCAAUAUUAAAAGUUUGGAGAAAAUGAGAUAAAAGUGAUAGAGUUGAUUUGUGGAUAAAAGAGUUGAAUUAGGGACACUUGGAUUUUCCUUGUCUGGAUUUCCAAUUGUUAUAACAUGGACAUUCUUCCUUGUGGCCAUAAGUUCCAGACAGAACACAUAAACAUUUAUCACAGCACAUGUUACAAAAGUGGAGACAUCUCUUUGGAAACCGAGUCUUUGAGCAACGAUACUCGCAUGCUUUUGGACAUUAUGAAACAAUUCACCAAACCAAUUUUCAAUUCUCAACAUCACAUUCAAAUACUUUUAUGUUAACUUUCAAAAAUGUCACCACAAUUAAUACCUCCUCGCUUAAGAGAUCCUUCCCCACCACUCUGUACAAGAUAACAAAAUAAUUAGAAUUCAUUGUUACUACUUUAAUAUAGUGCACAAAUAAGUUUAGAUGAAAUAAACAUGCAAAAUGAAUAAGUAAAAAUAUGAAUAACAAAGACAUAAGAAAAUAAUAUAUGUGUGAAAUAGAAAAAUGAGUCACAUAGACAAGUUGAGAUGAGAAUGAUGAGAAAAAGUGCAUGCACAAAUUUAGUCAUGAUUGACUCUCUUUAGAUUGAAGCAAAG